RNAcentral lists this ribosomal RNA (383 nucleotides) under uncultured bacterium. RNAcentral's name for it is "bacterial SSU rRNA". It matches the Rfam family "Bacterial small subunit ribosomal RNA", at positions 362 to 758 of the family's 1533-position model. The record is from RNAcentral.
UAUUGCGCAAUGGGCGAAAGCCUGACGCAGCAACGCCGCGUGAGGGAUGAAGGCCUUCGGGUUGUAAACCUCUUUCAGCAGGGAAGAAGCGAAAGUGACGGCACCUGCACAAGAAGCACCGGCUAACUACGUGCCAGCAGCCGCGGUAAUACGUAGGGUGCAAGCGUUGUCCGGAUUUAUUGGGCGUAAAGAGCUCGUAGGCGGUUAGUCACGUCGGAUGUGAAACCCCGAGGCUUAACCUCGGGCCUGCAUUCGAUACGGGCUGACUAGAGUGUUGUAGGGGAGACUGGAACUCCUGGUGUAGCGGUGAAAUGCGCAGAUAUCAGGAAGAACACCGGUGGCGAAGGCGGGUCUCUGGGCAACUACUGACGCUGAGAGCGAGA